RNAcentral lists this ribosomal RNA (551 nucleotides) under Salmonella enterica subsp. enterica serovar Bovismorbificans. RNAcentral's name for it is "partial 23S ribosomal RNA". It matches the Rfam family "Bacterial large subunit ribosomal RNA", at positions 1374 to 1920 of the family's 2925-position model. The record is from RNAcentral. Lineage: Bacteria; Pseudomonadati; Pseudomonadota; Gammaproteobacteria; Enterobacterales; Enterobacteriaceae.
UCUGGGUUAGUCGGGUCCUAAGCUGAGGCCGACAGGCGUAGGCGAUGGAUAACAGGUUGAUAUUCCUGUACCACCUAGUAUCGUUUUAAUCGAUGGGGGGACGCAGUAGGAUAGGCGAAGCGUGCUAUUGGAUUGCACGUCCAAGCAGUAAGACUGAGUGUUAGGCAAAUCCGGCACUCAUAAGGUCAAGCUGUGAUGGGGAGGGGGAAAUUGUUUCCUCGAGUCGUUGAUUUCACACUGCCAAGAAAAGCCUCUAGAUAGAUAACAAGUGCCCGUACCGCAAACCGACACAGGUAGUCAAGAUGAGAAUUCUAAGGUGAGCGAGCGAACUCUCGUUAAGGAACUCGGCAAAAUGACCCCGUAACUUCGGGAGAAGGGGUGCUCUUUAGGGUUAACGCCCAGAAGAGCCGCAGUGAAUAGGCCCAAGCGACUGUUUAUCAAAAACACAGGUCUCUGCUAAACCGUAAGGUGAUGUAUAGGGGCUGACGCCUGCCCGGUGCUGGAAGGUUAAGAGGAGUAGUUAGCUUCUGCGAAGCUACGAAUCGAAGCCC